GAGAACUAACAUAACUCUCAGAAUUUCUCUAGCAGAUUUUCUGACCAAAGUCAGAAAAAUCCAA
Mus pahari (shrew mouse) is the source of this 64-nucleotide small nuclear RNA. RefSeq annotates it as U7 small nuclear RNA. The transcript has a single exon. Lineage: Eukaryota; Metazoa; Chordata; Mammalia; Rodentia; Muridae. The record is from RefSeq and is a predicted model, not a curated record.